This 254-nucleotide ribosomal RNA is filed under the name uncultured bacterium. Its description in RNAcentral is "partial 16S ribosomal RNA". It matches the Rfam family "Bacterial small subunit ribosomal RNA", at positions 524 to 776 of the family's 1533-position model. The record is from RNAcentral.
UACGUAGGCAGCGAGCGUUGUUCGGAGUUACUGGGCGUAAAGGGUGUGUAGGCGGUUGUUUAAGUUUGGUGUGAAAUCUCCCGGCUCAACUGGGAGGGUGCGCCGAAUACUGAAUGACUUGGAGUGCGGGAGAGGAGAGUGGAAUUCCUGGUGUAGCGGUGAAAUGCGUAGAUAUCAGGAGGAACACCGGUGGUGUAGACGGCUCUCUGGACCGUAACUGACGCUGAGACUCGAAAGCGUGGGGAGCAAACAGG